GUAGGUGGCAAGCGUUGUCCGGAAUUAUUGGGCGUAAAGCGCGCGCAGGCGGUUCUUUAAGUCUGAUGUGAAAGCCCACGGCUCAACCGUGGAGGGUCAUUGGAAACUGGAGAACUUGAGUACAGAAGAGGAAAGCGGAACUCCACGUGUAGCGGUGAAAUGCGUAGAGAUGUGGAGGAACACCAGUGGCGAAGGCGGCUUUCUGGUCUGUAACUGACGCUGAGGCGCGAAAGCGUGGGGAGCAAACAGGAUUAGAUACCCUGGUAGUCCACGCCGUAAACGAUGAGUGCUAAGUGUUAGGGGGGUUUCCGCCCCCCUUAGUGCUGCAGCUAACGCAUUAAGCACUCCGCCCUGGGAGUACGGCCGCAAGGCUG
RNAcentral lists this ribosomal RNA (374 nucleotides) under uncultured organism. RNAcentral's name for it is "partial 16S ribosomal RNA". It matches the Rfam family "Bacterial small subunit ribosomal RNA", at positions 527 to 896 of the family's 1533-position model. The record is from RNAcentral.